Molecule: ribosomal RNA, 790 nt
Filed under: uncultured archaeon
Lineage: Archaea
Description: bacterial SSU rRNA
Rfam family: Archaeal small subunit ribosomal RNA
Source: RNAcentral
ACUGCUCAGUAACACGUAGCUAACCUACCCUUAAGUCAAGGAUAACCUUUGGGAAACUAAGGAUAAUACUUGAUAGAAGACUUACCCUGGAAUGAUUAGUCUUUCAAACUCGAGCUUAAGGAUGGGGCUGCGGCGGAUUAGGUUGUUGGCGGGGUAAUAGCCCACCAAGCCGAAGAUCCGUAAGGGCUCUUAGCGGAGAGGCCCUGGGAGGGAAUCUGAGACACUAUUCCCAGCCCCACGGGGUGCAGCAGUUAGGAAUAAUCUACAAUGCGCGCAAGCGUGAUAGUUUGAGCCAGAGUGCUUUUCAAUUAGAAAAGCUUUUGUGAAGUGCAAAAAGCUUCACGAAUAAGGACUGGGUAAGACGAGUGCCAGCCGCCGCGGUAAUACUCGCGGUCCAAGUCGCAGCCAUUUUUAUUGGGUCUAAAACAUCCGUAGCUUGUUUAGUAAGUCUCUUGUGAAAUUUUAUAUCUUAAAUAUAAAGCGAGCAAGAGGUACUACUAGGCUAGAGACUGGGAGACGUAAGAAGUACGUUUAAAGUAGCGGUUAAAUGUGUUAAUCUUAAACGGACUAACAAGAGCGAAGGCAUCUUACGAGAACAGUUCUGACAGUCAGGGAUGAAGGCUAGGGGCGCAAAACGGAUUAGAUACCCGUGUAGUCCUAGCAGUAAACACUGCACACUAAACAUCGGGACCUCUUCGUGAGGUUUCGGUGCUGAAGGGAAGCCGGAGAGUGUGCUACCUGGGAAGUAUAGUCGCAAGGCCGAAACUUAAAGGAAUUGGCGGGGGAGCAC